Long non-coding RNA from Camelus dromedarius (Arabian camel), 442 nucleotides. RefSeq lists it as uncharacterized. Lineage: Eukaryota; Metazoa; Chordata; Mammalia; Artiodactyla; Camelidae. The transcript is spliced from 3 exons. The record is from RefSeq and is a predicted model, not a curated record.
CAAGAGAGGAUGCACAACUUGGCUCAAGGGGGAAAUUCAAAUUCAGCUCUCCUGAUGCAUUGUCAUGGCCCAGUUUAUUUUCUUCAGAAAUACAAUUAUGCCAUGGAUGGAACCGAGAAGGAACCUCAUUCUUUGUCCACACACAUGCCAUGGCUAUCUUCUUCCCAAAUGAUGAGGUUGGAUGCUGGGAAUGCAGUUGCUUUGCAGUUCCAUAUAUGUGUCUCAUAAGUAACGUGGCCGUUUUCUCUGCACUUGGACGGAUCCAAGCCCCCCCAAGUAGACAUGAACCAGUGUGUAGCCGAUUCUCAUCUAGGUCCCUGCCUGCAGCAUUAGUCAGUGUGUGGGAACAACUCCCUGAUUCAACCUAAUAGAACACAAGAAUUCCUUGGAAAAAUGAAAGCCAUAGCUCAUAGCAGAACUUCUUUGCAGCUCACAUUUUAGC